RNAcentral lists this ribosomal RNA (673 nucleotides) under Escherichia albertii. Its description in RNAcentral is "bacterial SSU rRNA". It matches the Rfam family "Bacterial small subunit ribosomal RNA", at positions 860 to 1533 of the family's 1533-position model. Lineage: Bacteria; Pseudomonadati; Pseudomonadota; Gammaproteobacteria; Enterobacterales; Enterobacteriaceae. The record is from RNAcentral.
UUAAGUCGACCGCCUGGGGAGUACGGCCGCAAGGUUAAAACUCAAAUGAAUUGACGGGGGCCCGCACAAGCGGUGGAGCAUGUGGUUUAAUUCGAUGCAACGCGAAGAACCUUACCUGGUCUUGACAUCCACGGAAGUUUUCAGAGAUGAGAAUGUGCCUUCGGGAACCGUGAGACAGGUGCUGCAUGGCUGUCGUCAGCUCGUGUUGUGAAAUGUUGGGUUAAGUCCCGCAACGAGCGCAACCCUUAUCCUUUGUUGCCAGCGAUUCGGUCGGGAACUCAAAGGAGACUGCCAGUGAUAAACUGGAGGAAGGUGGGGAUGACGUCAAGUCAUCAUGGCCCUUACGACCAGGGCUACACACGUGCUACAAUGGCGCAUACAAAGAGAAGCGACCUCGCGAGAGCAAGCGGACCUCAUAAAGUGCGUCGUAGUCCGGAUUGGAGUCUGCAACUCGACUCCAUGAAGUCGGAAUCGCUAGUAAUCGUGGAUCAGAAUGCCACGGUGAAUACGUUCCCGGGCCUUGUACACACCGCCCGUCACACCAUGGGAGUGGGUUGCAAAAGAAGUAGGUAGCUUAACCUUCGGGAGGGCGCUUACCACUUUGUGAUUCAUGACUGGGGUGAAGUCGUAACAAGGUAACCGUAGGGGAACCUGCGGUUGGAUCACCUCCUUA